RNAcentral lists this ribosomal RNA (367 nucleotides) under uncultured organism. RNAcentral's name for it is "bacterial SSU rRNA". It matches the Rfam family "Bacterial small subunit ribosomal RNA", at positions 526 to 896 of the family's 1533-position model. The record is from RNAcentral.
CGGAGGAUCCAAGCGUUAUCCGGAUUCAUUGGGUUUAAAGGGUGCGUAGGCGGAACGAUAAGUCAGUGGUGAAAGCCUGCAGCUUAACUGCAGAACUGCCAUUGAUACUGUCGAUCUUGAGUACAUUUGAUGAGGGCGGAAUGUGUCAUGUAGCGGUGAAAUGCUUAGAUAUGACACAGAACACCGAUUGCGAAGGCAGCUCUCAAAACUGUAAACUGACGCUGAGGCACGAAAGCGUGGGUAUCAAACAGGAUUAGAUACCCUGGUAGUCCACGCUGUAAACUAUGAUCACUCGAUGUUUGCGAUAUACUGUAAGCGUCUAAGCGAAAGCGAUAAGUGAUCCACCUGGGGAUCGACUCGCAGAGUG